This 74-nucleotide transfer RNA is filed under the name bacterium. Its description in RNAcentral is "tRNA-Gly". It matches the Rfam family "tRNA". From Rfam's summary of the family: Transfer RNA (tRNA) molecules are approximately 80 nucleotides in length. Their secondary structure includes four short double-helical elements and three loops (D, anti-codon, and T loops). RNAcentral also lists the same sequence under 1 other name. The record is from RNAcentral.
GCGGGUAUAGCUUAAUGGUAAAGCUUCAGCCUUCCAAGCUGGCUAUGCGGGUUCGAUCCCCGCUACCCGCUCCA